UUAUGGCCAUAUCACGUUGAAACACCAGUUCUCAUACAGUCACCAGAGUUAAGCAAUGGUGAGCCUGGUCAGUACCUAGAUGGAUAACUGCUUGGGAAUACCAUGUGCUGUAAG
Molecule: ribosomal RNA, 114 nt
Filed under: Acanthosepion pharaonis
Lineage: Eukaryota; Metazoa; Mollusca; Cephalopoda; Sepiida; Sepiidae
Source: RNAcentral